CGUUUCCUGCACGCUGUGCGAUCUUUUCCCUUCUGGGGACGCUGCAGUGCCACAGAUCUACUUGAACUACUCUGGGAGACCAAAUUUCAAAGAAUGUGCCGAAGCUGCGGCAGUUUCCCAAUUGGGAGAGAGGAAGUGAUGUUGCCAGGUAGCUGAUGUCAACCAACCAAUAGCAGACAACCAAUGGAUUGGGAGGGAAGAAGAGAUGUUUCCAGGAAGCUGAUGUCAACCAACCAAUAGCGGACAACCAAUUGGUUUGAUUCCAGCAGAAUGGUUAAUCGCCACGGUUCAUGACUACAAGGAUUCCAGCGAAGGGUUCGAAGCUGAUAUGGACAUUGUCUCCAGCCCAUGAAGCUACAUCAGGUUGAAUGGAUGGCAGAAUUAUGUGCCAACGAUGGGCACAUUCCUGUGAAUGCACAGACCUGUCGCUCUGGCUGAUGUUUAUGCCGUGUCAGAAGAGUUGUGGUGACCGGUCUGGAGCACAACGUUGAAAUGUCAAGCUUUGUACUAUUGUGUAUCAUUACUUCAACACUUGUUUCACUGUCAUUUGUAUAUCAUUCUAAGAACAGUUUGAGAAAGUAACUGCUUUUGUGUUUCCUAAUAAAAAAGAAUUUGUGUGUAAAAUGUA
Long non-coding RNA from Carassius gibelio (silver crucian carp), 628 nucleotides. RefSeq lists it as uncharacterized. Lineage: Eukaryota; Metazoa; Chordata; Actinopteri; Cypriniformes; Cyprinidae. The transcript is spliced from 8 exons. The record is from RefSeq and is a predicted model, not a curated record.